GAUGAACGCUAGCUGCAGGCUUAACACAUGCAAGUCGAGGGGCAGCAUGACCUAGCAAUAGGUUGAUGGCGACCGGCGCACGGGUGAGUAACACGUAUCCAACCUGCCGAUUAUUCCGGGAUAGCCUUUCGAAAGAAAGAUUAAUACUGGAUAGCAUAACGAGAAGGCAUCUUCUUGUUAUUAAAGAAUUUCGAUAAUCGAUGGGGAUGCGUUCCAUUAGUUUGUUGGCGGGGUAACGGCCCACCAAGACAUCGAUGGAUAGGGGUUCUGAGAGGAAGGUCCCCCACAUUGGAACUGAGACACGGUCCAAACUCCUACGGGAGGCAGCAGUGAGGAAUAUUGGUCAAUGGACGAGAGUCUGAACCAGCCAAGUAGCGUGAAGGAUGACUGCCCUAUGGGUUGUAAACUUCUUUUAUAUGGGAAUAAAGUGGGCCACGUGUGGCUUUUUGUAUGUACCAUACGAAUAAGGAUCGGCUAACUCCGUG
Molecule: ribosomal RNA, 485 nt
Filed under: uncultured bacterium
Lineage: Bacteria
Description: partial 16S ribosomal RNA
Rfam family: Bacterial small subunit ribosomal RNA
Source: RNAcentral